Molecule: ribosomal RNA, 825 nt
Filed under: Triticum aestivum (bread wheat)
Lineage: Eukaryota; Viridiplantae; Streptophyta; Magnoliopsida; Poales; Poaceae
Description: partial small subunit ribosomal RNA
Source: RNAcentral
AUGUGUGGACAUAAUAAUGAAACGUUGUUCCACUCGUUAAUGGAGUGUGAACAUGCAAGACGUUUUUGGGAGUCAGCUGAACGAUUUUUUGGUAUAGAUAUACCAAGACUACACCCUGAGACUUGGGCCCGAGAUCUAUUAGAUCAUCGGUUUUACAAAAAGGAAGUGGCAGCUAUUAUGAUCACCGUGAUGUGGGCUGUGUGGCAUUCCAGGAACAAUUAUACUCAUGGUGAGUUGGUGUACCAGCCGAUCAAAUCAAUGGUGAUCAUUGAAGAGAUUAUCAGGGCGCUUGAGAUACCUGAGAGGCAGAAGACCAAAAUUACUGCCCGUCCGAGGUGGCUACCGCCGGAUGAGGGAUGGAUAAAAAUCAAUACCGAUGGUGCGACGGAUAUGGGGCAAAUGCGUGGAGGAGCAGGCUUUAUUGCUCGAGAUCAUAAUGGAGUUUUUGUUAGAGCGGGAGGUACAAGAUAUGACGGGGUUCUUGAUCCAUUAUCCAUUGAGGUACUUGCAUGCAGAGAUGCGAUCAAUAUGGUGCUAGAUAUGGGCUUGCAGCAAGUAGUUUUGGAAACGGAUUGUCAAGAGAUCCAGCGGUUGUGGGAGCUACCUCAGAAGUCGUCGUGUUUUCACUUGAUCAUGGAGAUGAAGAAUCUAUCUUCUUUUUUUCAGGGAUUCGAGCUACGGUUUGCAGGCCGCCAGUCUAAUAUGGUGGCACACCGUCUAGCUAGGCAUUCGUUACAACUUUCUGUUUCUGUGAUUAUGUAUGAUACAAUCCCUGGGUGGCUGACUGAUUGUUUGCAGUCAGACAUGCUGGCGCCUAAUGAAUAA